This 134-nucleotide ribosomal RNA is filed under the name uncultured eukaryote. Its description in RNAcentral is "partial 18S ribosomal RNA". It matches the Rfam family "Eukaryotic small subunit ribosomal RNA", at positions 1299 to 1458 of the family's 1831-position model. The record is from RNAcentral.
UGGUGGAGUGAUUUGUCUGGUUAAUUCCGAUAACGAACGAGACUCUAGCCUACUAACUAGUUGUCGGAUCGUUAGUCUGAUCAACUUCUUAGAGGGACAAGCGGCAAUUAGCCGCACGAGAUUGAGCAAUAACA